Molecule: long non-coding RNA, 2666 nt
Filed under: Marmota monax (woodchuck)
Lineage: Eukaryota; Metazoa; Chordata; Mammalia; Rodentia; Sciuridae
Source: RNAcentral
CAGAACUGAAGUUGCAUGUGGAUCACAAUCCCUGAGAUAGAACGGGAAUCGGACUGGAGAAUCCGCUCUGAGAAGCCACUUUCUCUACAUUCAACUGGGAGGGCUCAGGGAAGACCUGGAGGUAGAAAUCAUUUUCUUCUCCCUGAUAGGCUUAAUGGAUUGUUUAUGAUUAUUUAGGGAGACAGGUUUAAUAAACCUGAGUACAGUUACCUUCUGGCUAUCAGCAUACUCGCUGUAGCAGCCAGGAAGGUGCCCCUCACUCUCCCUUCAAGAGAAAACUUAUCUUCAGCUGCAAGGAGUACCGUGAACUGACAGCCUCUGGCUGUAGCACUGUCAGGAUCCUGGGCAGCCCGGCCAAUAGCUACACACCGUACUGGCACUUGGACAUUCUUGCACGGUGAGUGUACCUGGACACUCCUGCCCAACACAGGUUCCCUUUACUGUGCAACCUUUGUUCCAGACCUCACUGUUGAGCCAGCAGAGAUUGUGAGAACUGCUUCAUGGCCUGAAGAUUUCCCUACUCCAUCUGCUCCUUCCCCCUUUGAUCUUUUCCAGGCAGUAACCCCCACUAAGCUUCUUUUACUCCUAAUUCCAGCAUCUGCUUCUCAAAGAACCUAACAGAUAUACUCACUGAACUUUAAACUCUGAACAUUAUGCACCAUGACCUGUUUUUUUUGUUUUGUUUCUUGCUUUAAUCUUAUUUGAAAGAUUUUUUCAUUUUGUGUUUUUAGUUGACAAAAAUUUGUGUAUACACUUGACAUGUACACCAUGCUGUCACGUGACAUUGUAAAAUGGCUAGAUCUAGCUAUAAUACAUGGAUUACUUCACAUACUUGGUUUUUGUGAUGUGUACAUUUAAAAUCUACUCUCUUAUCAAUUUCCAAGGAUACUAUGAUUGUUAUAAAUCUUAGUAACCAUUUUGUGCAAUAGAUCUCUUGAACUUGUAUUUCCUGUCCAACUGAAAUUAUGUAUCCUAUGACCAACAUCUCUCUACCUACCCACCCACCCCUAACCCCUGGACACUACCAUUCUACUCUUUAUUUAUGUGAGUUUAGCUUUUUAAGAUCCUAUGUAUAAGUGAGAUCAUGUGGUAUUUGUCUUUCUGUACCAGACUUCUCUCACCUUAACACAAUGUCCUCUGGUUCAUCUAUGUUGUUACAAAUGACAUAAUUUCUUUCUUUUUAAAAGCUGAGUAGUAUUUCAUUGUGGUAUUGCCCACAUUCCCUUAACCAUCCAUCCUUUGAUGGACACUUAGGUUGUUUCCAUAUCCUGGUUAUAGUAAAUAUGGCAAUAGCAAACAUGGGAGUGCCAAUCUCUCUUCAGUAUACUGAUUCAUUUUUCUUUGGAUACAGGUCAAAUAUUGAAAUUGCUCUAUAUUAUUUUAUCUUUUAAAUAAGUGGGAAGACUAAUAAAACAAAGUUUCAUACUCAAGCCCAAAUCAGAUCUACCUUUAUUUUUAAAAAUCCUGUCCCCUGAGGCUUGGUGCUCAUAAACUUUAAGAACUAACCAUUUCUCUUCUUCACUUAGCAGAUUCUAUUCAUCCUUGAGAUCUUAGCCCAAAUAUCAUUUCUCCUCCACAGCUUUUUCUCAAUCCUCUUGACUCCAACUUUCCUAAGUGAUCUUAUUAUAGGUUCUUCUAGUUUAUUUAUUUAUUUAUUUAUUUUGGUACUGGGGAUUGAACUCAGGGGCACUCUACCACUAACUCUACCACUAAGCCACACCCUCAUCACUAUUUUGUAUUUUAUUUAGAUACAGGGUCUCAUUGAGUUGCUUUACACCUCACCUUAUUGAGUUGCUUGGCACCAUGCCAUUGCUAAAGCUGGCUUUGAACUUUCAAACCUCCUGCCUCAGCCUCUGAAGCCUCUGGGAUUACAGGUGUGUGCCACCUUACCCGGCAGAUUCUUCCAGUUUUUGCUUUGGCAGGAUAUGUCAAAUUUGUAGUUACUUGUCCAAGAUCAGUUGUGAGCCUAGGGGUCCCAUUGUCACAAAUCUGAACUAUUGGUCAUUGCUAAUUGCCCAGCACUGAGGACAGUGUGUGGAUCAUAGAAGCUGCUCAAUAAACAUUUGAUUAAGGGUUGAAUUUACUGAACUAGAGAUGUGAAAUGUUGGUACAGGACUAGAAUUGAAUAUAUGUACGCCUUCAUUGUGUCUUUGGACUUGAGACACCAUUUUUGCUUCCUCAUUACAGCACAAAUUCAUAGACUUGAGCGUUUUUUAGAAGAAACUUAAAGAUUAUUCAAUCUGAGGAUCCAUCUGAUGUCAGAGAUACUGCAGAACAUUCAAGCACAUGGUGGUCCAGUCUUAGCUUGAAUACUGGGGACAGAAACUACCUCUCAAGGCCACCCACCCGUUGCCUCCUGGACAGCCCCAACUCUCAGAAAGUCUGUUCUUACCCCGAUGUUCUGAUAAUCUAUUCCUGAAUCUGGGUAUAAUCUUCCUAUAGCUUUGAUCAACAAUGUGUUCAUACAGAGUAAUUUUAAAGUCUUUAUAUAACAAUAUCAAUAACCUAGAUCAACUUUGGUCCAAACUGCUUUUGAGAAAAGGAGCAAAUUUCCCCCUCUGAAUAGUAUCUCAAGUAGGAACAAAACUGGCUUUAAAUAGAAAGAGUUCCUUCACGUGUCCAUUCUGAAGAUAGCAAUUGAGUGCUAAUGUGUGACUCGGGGUGGG